CCUACGGGUGACAGCAGUGAGGAAUAUUGGUCAAUGGCCGGAAGGCUGAACCAGCCAAGCCGCGUGAAGGACGAAGGUGCCAAGCAUUGUAAACUUCUUUUGUCAAGGGACAAAAUCAGGCUCGAGAGCCUGACCGAGGGUACUUGAAGAAAAAGCAUCGGCUAACUCCGUGCCAGCAGCCGCGGUAAUACGGAGGAUGCGAGCGUUAUCCGGAUUUAUUGGGUUUAAAGGGUGCGUAGGCGGGAUGUUAAGUCAGCGGUAAAAGCCCGGGGGGACACCCCGGGGAGCCGUGGAAACUGGCUGUGUUGAGAUGUCGAGAGGUAUGCGGAAUGCGCAGGGUAGCGGUGAGAUGCUUAGAUAUUGCGCAGAACUCCGAUUGCGAAGGCAGAAUACCGGCGGCGAUCUGACGCGGAGGCACGCAAGCGUGGGUAUAGAACAGGAUUAGAUACCCGUGUAGUC
This 459-nucleotide ribosomal RNA is filed under the name uncultured bacterium. Its description in RNAcentral is "partial 16S ribosomal RNA". It matches the Rfam family "Bacterial small subunit ribosomal RNA", at positions 338 to 795 of the family's 1533-position model. The record is from RNAcentral.